RNAcentral lists this ribosomal RNA (1164 nucleotides) under Clostridioides difficile. RNAcentral's name for it is "partial 23S ribosomal RNA". It matches the Rfam family "Bacterial large subunit ribosomal RNA", at positions 1555 to 2730 of the family's 2925-position model. The record is from RNAcentral. Lineage: Bacteria; Bacillati; Bacillota; Clostridia; Peptostreptococcales; Peptostreptococcaceae.
GCUGGGAUGUGAUGGGGAGCGAAAUUUAGUAGCGAAGUAGCUGAUUUCACACUGUCAAGAAAAGUCUCUAUCGAGGUUAAAGGUACCCGUACCGCAAACCGACACAGGUGGGUGAGGAGAGUAUCCUAAGGCCAGCGAGAGAACUGUUGUUAAGGAACUCGGCAAAAUGACCCCGUAACUUAGGGAUAAGGGGUGCCACCAUCCGGUGGCCGCAGAGAAUAGGCCCAAGCGACUGUUUACCAAAAACAUAGGUUUCUGCUAAGUCGCAAGACGAUGUAUAGGAGCUGACGCCUGCCCGGUGCUGGAAGGUUAAGGGGAUCUGUUAGAGCAAUCGAAGCAGUGAACUUAAGCCCCAGUAAACGGCGGCCGUAACUAUAACGGUCCUAAGGUAGCGAAAUUCCUUGUCGGGUAAGUUCCGACCCGCACGAAAGGCGUAACGAUUUGGGCACUGUCUCAACAACAGACUCGGUGAAAUUGUAAUUCCGGUGAAGAUGCCGGAUACCUGCGACAGGACGGAAAGACCCCAUGGAGCUUUACUGUAGCUUGACAUUGGGUCUUGGUACUACAUGUACAGGAUAGGUGGGAGGCUUUGAAACCAGGACGCCAGUUUUGGCGGAGCCAUCCUUGGGAUACCACCCUUGUAGUACUGGGACUCUAACCAUAGGCCAUGAAUCUGGUCUUGGGACACUGUCAGGUGGGCAGUUUGACUGGGGCGGUCGCCUCCCAAAAGGUAACGGAGGCGCUCAAAGGUUCUCUCAGUACGGUCGGAAAUCGUACGUAGAGUGUAAAGGCAAAAGAGAGCUUGAUUGCAAGACAUACAGGUCGAGCAAGGAUGAAAAUCGGACUUAGUGAUCCGGUGGUUCUGCGUGGAAGGGCCAUCGCUCAACGGAUAAAAGCUACCCUGGGGAUAACAGGCUUAUCUCCCCCAAGAGUCCACAUCGACGGGGAGGUUUGGCACCUCGAUGUCGGCUCAUCACAUCCUGGGGCUGUAGUAGGUCCCAAGGGUUGGGCUGUUCGCCCAUUAAAGUGGUACGCGAGCUGGGUUCAGAACGUCGUGAGACAGUUCGGUCCCUAUCCGUCGCAGGCGUAGGAAAUUUGAGAAGACCUGUCCUUAGUACGAGAGGACCGGGAUGGACGUACCUCUGGUGUACCAGUUGUUCUGCC